This 397-nucleotide ribosomal RNA is filed under the name uncultured bacterium. RNAcentral describes it as "partial 16S ribosomal RNA". It matches the Rfam family "Bacterial small subunit ribosomal RNA", at positions 523 to 918 of the family's 1533-position model. The record is from RNAcentral.
AUACGUAGGUGACAAGCGUUGUCCGGAUUUACUGGGCGUAAAGGGCGUGUAGGCGGUCUUGCAAGUCAGAAGUGAAAUUCCUGAGCUCAACUCGGGCGCUGCUUCUGAAACUGCAGGACUUGAGUGCUGGAGGGGAUAGCGGAAUUCCUAGUGGAGCGGUAAAAUGCGCAGAUAUUAGGAAGAACACCGGUGGCGAGGGCGGCUAUCUGGACAGGAACUCACGCUGUGGCACGAAAGCGUGGGGAGAAAACAGGAUUUGAUACCCGCUUAUACCACGCCGUAAACGAUGUAUACAAGGUGUAGGGGGUAUCGGCUCCCUCUGUGCCGCAGUUAACACAAUAAGUAUUCCGCCUGGGGAGUACGUUCGCAAGGUUGAAACUCAAAUGAAUUGACGGGG